Molecule: long non-coding RNA, 777 nt
Organism: Ictalurus punctatus (channel catfish)
Lineage: Eukaryota; Metazoa; Chordata; Actinopteri; Siluriformes; Ictaluridae
Source: Ensembl
GUGAGCUCACUUUAUAAAAUCUCUUUUCCACAUUACCACGAAAAUAUAUUGAGUACAACAUAUUUCAUUUCCAAUUUAUGUUGUUGUUUUUUUUUUUACCUCCAGGGUCAGACCAGGGCUUCUGCAUAGCUCUAAUGUAUUUACAAGCUGCACAGAAUGACAACAUGUCUCUGAAUAAAAUUUGACAUUUGACAAGGCAUAAUAAUAUGUUAUUGAAAUGGACUGCCAAUAACUACUAUAGAAAAGAAAUUUAGCUGUGGCAGAUUCACAUCCCAGGCAGACAGCGGGCAGUUGUAGAUGGUCCCCCAUACACGAGGGAGCAUCCAGAUGCCAGGUCCUGCCACAGGGGCCACAAGGAAGUGGAGUGUGUCCACACAUUCACGUCACCGCUCACCUCAGUCAUCUGGGUGCUAAUGGAUACCGACUCAACAGACUUCCUCGAGGGGUUUCAAAAAAAGGAGAAACAGAACACACAGUGAACACCGAACUCCAUUUCCCACAAGGUCUGGCGGUUCAACUGGAAAACAACAACGAGCUUGACAACACCACAAAUCAUGGCUGACAGCGAGUUACCCAGGUCAAGCUGUGCAGCUCAGUGUCGCAAAUCAUGUCUCCAAACCCCUGCUGUGUUAACCACCACUACGUACAUCAAAUAUCCAGAGUCAACCCAUCCCUGCCCUCUUGACCUUGAUCUCUGCUUCAUGCUUUGGAUUUGUUUGUUUGCUGACAGUUCUAUUUAAAUAAAAGCAUUCUUACAUCAAAAGUCCAGCGUCAACC